UUGGUUUUUAAAUCUGGCACCUGCUAGUUUCAUUUGAUUGCAAAUUAUAUUUAUAUUUUAAGAUACAAUAAGCCUUUGCUCUGCUAUUUUUCCAUAUGGCCUAUGUACACCAUUGCCAUGUUGGUCAUCUCUUUUCUAGAAUAAAGAGAAAUUGUGAAUUCAAUUAUUUCUUUUAUGUCAUUGCUUUGUAUACCUUUUCAAUUAUACUAUAUCCUUGAGAUGUAGUAUCAGAAGAGUGCAUGUUCUAAAGGUCCUAUGAGCUAUUCAGCAGUGUGUUGAUGAUUUUUCUUUUAUAAUAAUUAUUUCAGUGUUUGUGGGUUGGUUUCUAACUUAUUUAGCCUUGUACUAACUUUUUCAUAGAAAUAUCAAUGUAAACCAACUUCACAUCAGUGUCAACUCAAUUCAUCAAUAAAUCUAUACCACUUGAAGAAUAUUUUAGCAGUAAAGACAUCAGGUUAUUGAAACCACUGCAGUCUGGCACUCUGUUCCUAUUUUUGCUUGGUUUAUGUCUCUUGAAGAUGUAAAAAGACAAACUGUUGUAAUAAUUUUCAACAUGAUGCUUUUUAAAUCUCAUUGGUUUUGUGCAUACAAGAUAAAAUCUAUAUAUGGUCAUUUUGUACAUAUGGGCAUCCAGAUAAAGAUUUUUUUAGUUCUUGAAGAAGCCACUUUGUAAAUGUGACACAGAGCAAUGUUAUUUUAAAAAAUUUUCCUUGAAACUACAGUGGCAUAAAAGAAAACUUAAAAAUCUUGAGAAUUCUUGGUCUCUUUUCCUAUUUUCUCAAAAUAUGGAAUCGUCUAGUCAGUAAUCACACCUGAAUGUCUUGAGUAAAGGAAACUAGGAUAGUUCAUUGUUUCAUAUGUGACUGGUCCAGAAGUUCUUCAGAAAUAUGGUGUUCUUACAGCAUCUUUUAUUACAACCUCAGCUGAACUAAGCAUAUUCAAUGAAAAUGGUAUGUAAAGGUAAUGCAAAGAAAACAUAAUUUAUUGCUUAUAAUAUUCCUUGAAAUUAUUUGUUACACAGGAGGUCUAUUAAAAUGUGCAUAAGUAUGAUUUCCGGCCUUUUGCAGAUGAAGACAAUGAAGUUCUGAGUUCUCAUAGCAACAUGGAGAAACUGGGAAUAGAAUCCUUGGUCCCCUGACACCUUCCAGCAUCCCAUCCAUAACUAAAGUGUCAUCACAGAAGAACAAAGGAAGAGGCCUGUCUGAAGUAUUUGCGCCUCCAUGGCCUAAGAAAUUGAUGGAAAACCAAUGUGUUUUUUAAAAGAGAGCCCAUGUCUGAAAGUGAAUUUCUUAUUUAGGCACAUGAAAUGCAAGUGAUGUGGCUGGUGCAGCAGACCUGUCCUUGUAUUAGCUGCAACUUGGACUGGGCAUUUCACUCACUGUAGUGGCCAGUAGACAGUGCUUAGUGGAAAGAAUUAAGAAAUAGAUCAAGUAGGAGUUAAUUUUCCCAGGAUGUAUACACAGCCUCCAGCAAUAAUUCCAUGAAAAUUGUGUGAACUCAGCCUGAGCUUGUCUGUGACAUGAAAGGGCAGAUUUUUCGGCCAAAGAAUCAAGUACUGGAAAAACGGGAGCAGCAAGUCAGAGAAGGAGAACAGAAAAAACAGGAAUAUAAAAGCAUAAAACUGCUUCUCCAUUAUAGGAAGUGGUUUGAGAGGUGCAUGAAUCCUGUUAAACAGCAGAAGGUUUGAAUGAGGAGUUGACUGAAGCUGUUAUUGGAGCCAAAAUGCAGGAAGUGAAGAUCCCAUUUGCUUGUGGGCUGCAAAUCCUGGGAAUUAUGAAUGUAAGAAAGACAUGCUUAUUAAAUAUGCGUUGAUACCAAAAAUGUUCAGGUUGAGUUUCCUGGAGAUAGAGAAAUAGGAGUAAUUUAUAAUAAGAUAAACGCCUGACACCUUUUAAUCCUUGCAAGGAUUUCUCUACAGGAUAUUAAUGUCAGGGAAUAUUCACACUUACCAUAUGAUUUUUUUGUUCUAAUGCAAAUUUUGAAGCAGUUCCAAGGUUUCUCUUUUUUUAUGGCUUCCAGAUGACAAUCCUAAAAUUCCUCCUGCAAACCAUUGCAGAAUCAAAUCUAGCACUGAACUAUGUCUAAAAAGAGCCAUUCUUUUGCUGCAGUAUGUCAGGAGCAAUGAAUUACUUGAAAUGUACAUGGUGCUAUGGAGAAAUAGAAAUCAAUUAUUUUUAAGGUGAAUGGGAAAGGACAAAUUGAUAGAACUUGGAAGAUGAUACCUCUUUCUUAAGAAAAUACUUUACGACAAAAAUGUGUCAAAUCUUUCACCUUAUAGCUACAAGAUGAUGGUAAGGUAAAUGAAAAAAAAAUGUGAAGAAAGAAGGCUGCUUUUCUGUGUAUGCAGAGAACAUAGCAAAUGUGCAGCAGAGAAUUCUGUUUCUCCCAUCCAGAGAUGGAAGCUAGUGGAGUUGAAAAGGCUUUACAAAAUUAGUAUUGAAAGACUGAAGUAUUUAUAUUAGGCUAUCACUCUUUUUUUGUAUUUAUUUUAACUCAUGUGAUGUAUCUCUCGGGAAAGGAGCAAAUAAAGCAUGUGGUCCAAAUCUAA
Lonchura striata (white-rumped munia) is the source of this 2548-nucleotide non-coding RNA. Lineage: Eukaryota; Metazoa; Chordata; Aves; Passeriformes; Estrildidae. The record is from RefSeq and is a predicted model, not a curated record.